CCCUUAGAUGUUCUGGGCCGCGCGCGCGCUACACUGACGAAUGCAACGAGCUUAUAACCUUGUCCGAAAGGUCUGGGUAAUCUCCAAAUUUCGUCGUGAUGGGGAUAGAUUAUUGCAAUUAUUAAUCUUCAACGAGGAAUGCCUAGUAAGCACAAGUCAUCAGCUUGCGUUGAUUACGUCCCUGCCCUUUGUACACACCGCCCGUCGCUCCUACCGAUUGAAUGGUCCGGUGAAGCGUUCGGACCGUGGCCUUUGGACGGUUCGCCGUCUGUUGGCUGCGGGAAGUUCGUUAAACCUUAUCAUUUAGAGGAAGGAGAAGUCGUAACA
RNAcentral lists this ribosomal RNA (327 nucleotides) under uncultured eukaryote. RNAcentral's name for it is "partial 18S ribosomal RNA". It matches the Rfam family "Eukaryotic small subunit ribosomal RNA", at positions 1470 to 1796 of the family's 1831-position model. The record is from RNAcentral.